CCUACGGGGGGCUGCAGUGGGGAAUAUUGGACAAUGGGCGAAAGCCUGAUCCAGCCAUGCCGCGUGUGUGAAGAAGGCCUUCGGGUUGUAAAGCACUUUCAGUGGGGAAGAAAGCCUUGGGGCUAAUACCCUCGAGGAAGGACAUCACCCACAGAAGAAGCACCGGCUAACUCCGUGCCAGCAGCCGCGGUAAUACGGAGGGUGCGAGCGUUAAUCGGAAUUACUGGGCGUAAAGCGCGCGUAGGCGGUCUGAUAAGCCGGUUGUGAAAGCCCCGGGCUCAACCUGGGAACGGCAUCCGGAACUGUCAGGCUAGAGGGCAGGAGAGGAAGGUAGAAUUCCCGGUGUAGCGGUGAAAUGCGUAGAGAUCGGGAGGAAUACCAGUGGCGAAGGCGGCCUUCUGGACUGACACUGACGCUGAGGUGCGAAAGCGUGGGUAGCAAACAGGAUUAGAUACCCCUGUAGUC
This 465-nucleotide ribosomal RNA is filed under the name Vreelandella stevensii. RNAcentral describes it as "partial 16S ribosomal RNA". It matches the Rfam family "Bacterial small subunit ribosomal RNA", at positions 338 to 795 of the family's 1533-position model. Lineage: Bacteria; Pseudomonadati; Pseudomonadota; Gammaproteobacteria; Oceanospirillales; Halomonadaceae. The record is from RNAcentral.